RNAcentral lists this non-coding RNA (29 nucleotides) under Mus musculus (house mouse). Lineage: Eukaryota; Metazoa; Chordata; Mammalia; Rodentia; Muridae. The record is from RNAcentral.
UGCCAAGACCAACUAGAAGGAGCUCUUUC